RNAcentral lists this long non-coding RNA (223 nucleotides) under Elaeis guineensis (African oil palm). RNAcentral's name for it is "long non-coding RNA (EGUI_LNC025742)". The record is from RNAcentral. Lineage: Eukaryota; Viridiplantae; Streptophyta; Magnoliopsida; Arecales; Arecaceae.
AAUAUUGAAUAAUAAUAAUAAUAAAUAAAUUACAUUCUAAUGACUAGAAUUAUAUCGCAUACCAUUAUUGCAAGAGAAGAUUGAACAAAGAAUAUAGAUCUAUUUAUCAAUAUUCGUAUCUUCCUCGAUGUGUAGAUCCUCUUCUGAAUCACAAUAAUCGACAUAUAUAUCGUCUUCUAUCUCAUCAUCAUUUAUAAACUGAUCAUCGUCCUCUGACUCAUCA